Molecule: ribosomal RNA, 427 nt
Filed under: uncultured bacterium
Lineage: Bacteria
Description: bacterial SSU rRNA
Rfam family: Bacterial small subunit ribosomal RNA
Source: RNAcentral
UAGGGAAUAUUGGACAAUGGGGGCAACCCUGAUCCAGCCAUGCCGCGUGAGUGAAGAAGGCCCUCGGGUUGUAAAGCUCUUUUGUCCGGAAAGAAAAGCUUCGGGUUAAUACCCCGGGGUUCUGACGGUACCGGAAGAAUAAGCACCGGCUAACUUCGUGCCAGCAGCCGCGGUAAUACGAAGGGUGCAAGCGUUACUCGGAAUUACUGGGCGUAAAGCGUACGUAGGCGGAUGCGCAAGUUGGGGGUGAAAUCCCGGGGCUUAACCUCGGAAUUGCCCUCAAAACUGCACGUCUUGAGACCGAGAGAGGUUAGGGGAAUUCCUAGUGUAGAGGUGAAAUUCGUAGAUAUUAGGAAGAACACCAGUGGCGAAGGCGCCUUACUGGCUCGGUACUGACGCUGAGGUACGAAAGCGUGGGGAGCAAGCA